This is a small nuclear RNA of Trichechus manatus latirostris (Florida manatee), 107 nucleotides long. NCBI's taxonomy places the organism in Eukaryota, Metazoa, Chordata, Mammalia, Sirenia, Trichechidae. The record is from RefSeq and is a predicted model, not a curated record.
CUGCUCACUUCAAUAGCACAUAUACUACAAUUGGAAUGAUACAGAGAAGAUUGGCAUGGCCUUUGCCUAAGGAUGAUAUGCAAAUUCAUGAAGCAUUCCAUAUUUUU